GCCCUCGUAGUUCAACGGAUAGAAUGCAAGCUUGCGGAGCUUGUGAUAGAGGUUCGAUUCCUCUCGAGGGCGCAA
RNAcentral lists this transfer RNA (75 nucleotides) under Candidatus Niyogibacteria bacterium RIFCSPLOWO2_02_FULL_45_13. RNAcentral's name for it is "tRNA-Arg". It matches the Rfam family "tRNA". Rfam says of the family: Transfer RNA (tRNA) molecules are approximately 80 nucleotides in length. Lineage: Bacteria; Candidatus Niyogiibacteriota. The record is from RNAcentral.